Molecule: ribosomal RNA, 141 nt
Filed under: Alphaproteobacteria bacterium
Lineage: Bacteria; Pseudomonadati; Pseudomonadota; Alphaproteobacteria
Description: partial 23S ribosomal RNA
Rfam family: Bacterial large subunit ribosomal RNA
Source: RNAcentral
GAAAGCAUCUAAGCGGGAAACUCACCUCAAAACCAGGUUUCGCUUGAGAGCCGGGGAAGACUACCCCGUCGAUAGGCCAGGUGUGUAAGCGCAGCAAUGCGUUGAGCUUACUGGUACUAAUCGCUCGAUUGGCUUGAUCGC